UCAGCUCCGGCCUAUGCAUCCUCUACGUAGGGGACCGAUGCAAAUAAGUGAAUGAUCCAGAAGAACAAAAAAAUAAAAGAAAGCAAAAAGGCAACUCCGAUAUAGGUGACCCUCACAAAGUCAUUUAAACCAAAGAAUUGUAAAAAAUUGCUACAAAAAGAAAAAGAAAAAGAAAAAGAAAAGCAGUACUCACUGUUAGUUGGUUCAGAGGUAU
RNAcentral lists this long non-coding RNA (214 nucleotides) under Lathyrus oleraceus (garden pea). Its description in RNAcentral is "Pisum sativum (pea) long non-coding RNA (PSAT_LNC025331)". The record is from RNAcentral. Lineage: Eukaryota; Viridiplantae; Streptophyta; Magnoliopsida; Fabales; Fabaceae.